AGGGUUAAAUACCUAAAACUCCCCUGUGGUUUGCCUAAUGUUCACUUUACCUCCCUAUGGUUUGGAAACCUACAAUUUGACUCCUAGUCGUUUCAACUAAAGUAAAAGUCUAACGGAAAACAUCUAAACUAACGUCUGAAAGGAAAAUGCCAAAAUUGUCCCUCUAUAAGGGUUUUGCGUUAAGUACCAAAAACCCCCCUGUGGUUUGUCAAAUGUACACUUUACCUCCCUAUGGUUUGAAAAUAUACAAUUUAACUCCCUAUCGUUUCACCUAAAGUGAAAAUCUAACAGAAAUUCCGUUAAAUACACUUUAGUUGAAACGACAGGGAGUCAAAUUGUAGGUUUCCAAACCAUAGGGAGGUAAAGUGAACAUUAGGCAAACCACAGGGGGAUUUUUGGUAUUUAACCCUU
Molecule: long non-coding RNA, 411 nt
Filed under: Coffea arabica (coffee)
Lineage: Eukaryota; Viridiplantae; Streptophyta; Magnoliopsida; Gentianales; Rubiaceae
Description: long non-coding RNA (CARA_LNC003793)
Source: RNAcentral